RNAcentral lists this ribosomal RNA (471 nucleotides) under uncultured Methanomicrobiales archaeon. Its description in RNAcentral is "bacterial SSU rRNA". It matches the Rfam family "Archaeal small subunit ribosomal RNA", at positions 871 to 1337 of the family's 1478-position model. The record is from RNAcentral. Lineage: Archaea; Methanobacteriati; Methanobacteriota; Methanomicrobia; Methanomicrobiales.
GACGGGGAGCACCACAACAGGUGGAGCCUGCGGUUUAAUCGGACUCAACGCCGGGAAGCUCACCGGAUAAGACAGCGGAAUGAUAGCCGGGCUGAAGACUCUGCUUGACUAGCUGAGAGGAGGUGCACGGCCGUCGUCAGUUCGUACUGUGAAGCAUCCUGUUAAGUCAGGCAACGAGCGAGACCCACGCCAACAGUUGCCAGCUCGUCCUCCGGGAUGGUGGGGACACUGUUGGGACCGCCUCUGCUAAAGAGGAGGAAGGAAUGGGCAACGGUAGGUCAGCAUGCCCCGAAUUAUCUGGGCUACACGCGGGCUACAAUGGGUGGGACAAUGGGUAUCGACACCGAAAGGUGAAGGCAAUCUCCUAAACCCAUCCGUAGUUCGGAUUGUGGGCUGCAACUCGCCCACAUGAAGCUGGAAUCUGUAGUAAUCGUGUCUCAAAAUGGCACGGUGAAUAUGUCCCUGCUCCUU